Molecule: ribosomal RNA, 253 nt
Filed under: uncultured bacterium
Lineage: Bacteria
Description: partial 16S ribosomal RNA
Rfam family: Bacterial small subunit ribosomal RNA
Source: RNAcentral
UACGUAGGGCGCAAGCGUUGUCCGGAAUUAUUAGGCGUAAAGAGCUCGUAGGCGGCUUGUCACGUCGGGUGUGAAAGCCCGGGGCUUAACCCCGGGUCUGCAUUCGAUACGGGCAGGCUAGAGUGUGGUAGGGGAGAUCGGAAUUCCUGGUGUAGCGGUGAAAUGCGCAGAUAUCAGGAGGAACACCGGUGGCGAAGGCGGAUCUCUGGGCCAUUACUGACGCUGAGGAGCGAAAGCGUGGGGAGCGAACAGG